GUAGUCCCACGCCGUAAACGAUGAUAACUAGCCGUUGGGGGGAUUUACCCUUUAGUGGCGAAGCUAACGCGUNAAGUUAUNCCGCCUGGGGAGUACGGCCCGCAAGGCUAAAACUCAAAGGAAUUGACGGGGACCCGCACAAGCGGUGGAGCAUGUGGUUUAAUUCGAUGCAACGCGAAGAACCUUACCCUGGUCUUGACAUCCUGCGAACUUUCUAGAAAUAGAUUGGUGCCUUCGGGAACGCAGUGACAGGUGCUGCAUGGUUGUCGUCAGCUCGUGUCGUGAGAUGUUGGGUUAAGUCCCGUAACGAGCGCAACCCCUAUCCUUAUUUGCCAGCACAUUAUGGUGGGAACUAUAAGGAGACUGCCGGUGAUAAACCGGAGGAAGGCGGGGACGACGUCAAGUCAUCAUGGCCCUUACGACCAGGGCUACACACGUGCUACAAUGGGAAGGACAAAGAGCCGCGAAGCCGCGAGGUGUAGCUAAUCUCAUAAAUCUUUUCGUAGUCCGGAUUGGAGUCUGCAACUCGACUCCAUGAAGUCGGAAUCGCUAGUAAUCGUAGAUCAGAAUGCUACGGUGAAUACGUUCCCGGGUCUUGUACACACCGCCCGUCAUACCAUGGGAGUGGGUUGCACCAGAAGUGGCUAGUCUAACUUUGUGAGGACAGUCACCACGGUGUGAUUCAUGACUGGGGUAAAGUCGUAACAAGGUA
RNAcentral lists this ribosomal RNA (712 nucleotides) under uncultured marine bacterium. RNAcentral's name for it is "bacterial SSU rRNA". It matches the Rfam family "Bacterial small subunit ribosomal RNA", at positions 790 to 1498 of the family's 1533-position model. The record is from RNAcentral.